UACGUAGGGGGCGAGCGUUGUCCGGAAUCAUUGGGCGUAAAGCGCGUGUAGGCGGUUCAGUAAGUCUGCUGUGAAAGUCCAGGGCUCAACCCUGGGAUGCCGGUGGAUACUGCUGAACUAGAGUGCGGAAGAGGCGAGUGGAAUUCCCGGUGUAGCGGUGAAAUGCGCAGAUAUCGGGAGGAACACCAAUUGCGAAGGCAGCUCGCUGGGACGUUACUGACGCUGAGACGCGAAAGCGUGGGUAGCAAACAGG
RNAcentral lists this ribosomal RNA (253 nucleotides) under uncultured bacterium. RNAcentral's name for it is "partial 16S ribosomal RNA". It matches the Rfam family "Bacterial small subunit ribosomal RNA", at positions 524 to 776 of the family's 1533-position model. The record is from RNAcentral.